Non-coding RNA from Podarcis lilfordi (Lilford's wall lizard), 77 nucleotides. NCBI's taxonomy places the organism in Eukaryota, Metazoa, Chordata, Lepidosauria, Squamata, Lacertidae. The record is from the annotation of a GenBank genome assembly.
GCUUAAUUUAAAUGCUCAGUUGGUAGAGCACGAAACUCUUAAUCUCAGGGUCGUGGGUUAUAGCCCCAUGUUGGGCA